GAGGCAGAGAGGGGGAAUUGGAGGAAAUGCACAUGGGGAGGGAUAGCUCAGUGGUUUGAGCAUUGGCCUGCUAAACCCAGGGUUGUGAGCUCAGGCCUUGAGGGGGCCACUUAGGAUUCUGGGGCAAAAAUCAGUACUUGGUCCUGCUAGUGAAGGCAGCGGGCUGGGCUUGAUGACCUUCUGGGGUUCCUUCCAGUUCUAUGAGAUAGGUAUAUCUCCAUAUAUUUAUGUGAUAUGAGGAUCACCAAGAGGAAUGGGAGUAGGAAGGAGGGAUACUUUAUUCUAAGUCUAGGCUCCGGAUCUCACUGAGCCACCGGCCCGCUGUAUAACACAGUUCCUGUUGAUAGUGUAUGUUGGCCCUUAGCUCUCUUUCAGGGGUUUAGGUGGUUUAUAGAAUCAGUAGAUGCCCUAGUGCCCGCAGCAUGGUGGAUUUUGCAUCAUAGAUAGAAUGAGGCAUUUUGGUAAGUGGAGUGGAGACAAAGGCUGACUUGCUCUCACAGGCAAUGAGAGAGGUUUAUUGUCUACCUACUGUGACUUACUGUUUCUCUACUAUUCUGGUUUUGCUCUGUGAUCAUGUGUCUACAAAUUUCUUGCCAGGGUUUACCUCUCCAUUGCCUAAAUGAAGGAACAAUUUCCACCUCCAUCUUGAAUUGUACUGGGGCUAAGGUGCAUCAAAUCCAUUUCUAGCAGCACAACUUAUAUGAGGUGCUCCAUGGUAUAAAGAUAAAACUCUGCUGAUUAGAAACUGGAUGAUCAUUCUGCACUGCCUCCUAGAGGAUUUGACUGGAAGAUUUCACCAUAAUAAAGGAGCAGGAUGCCAUCACUUCAGCAUGACUAUUCCUGUAUGUAGUCUUCUAACUUGUAGAAUGUGGCUUUGCAUAAACACAUGAAUAAAAUCU
RNAcentral lists this long non-coding RNA (899 nucleotides) under Gopherus agassizii (Agassiz's desert tortoise). RNAcentral's name for it is "lncRNA (ENSGAGG00000008601.1)". The record is from RNAcentral. Lineage: Eukaryota; Metazoa; Chordata; Testudines; Testudinidae.